RNAcentral lists this long non-coding RNA (2087 nucleotides) under Homo sapiens (human). RNAcentral describes it as "HSALNT0316270". Lineage: Eukaryota; Metazoa; Chordata; Mammalia; Primates; Hominidae. The record is from RNAcentral.
UCUCCCUCCCGCAAGCACACAGAUCCUCUCUUCUCUCCAUGUAGUCACUACUUGGGGAAGGGGAAUGGGUGGUAUCAGCAAUUCAAGACUGAUUUCUUUUCCAUCUUCAGCGCCCCUUUCCUUGAUAUGAUGUUAAAACCAGAACAAGAAACAGAUCGAGGAAGAGGCAGAGUAACAACAGCCGGGAAGAAGAUACAGUUUUGUCAUUUUGUAGUGAGACUGUGCCCUAUACAUGAACCUAUUUGCCAGACCCAUCAAGUGAAUUCCGUGAUUCUUAUGAAAAAUGCCAUUAGACCUGUGAGAGGGGCUGUGACAGUGGAACCCGAAUGAAGACAGGAAAAGUCUGUAGAGGACUGAUGGUUAUGUUCACCAUUCAAAUUGCAAGAAAACCAAUAAGAAGUCAGUAAAGUGCAUUCAAAGAGAAAGGUGGGACUCGUGAAGGGGCCAAGGGAAAAGAGCUUCAUUAGCAUAUUUGUCAAGCAGAUGUGAAAUGAGGCAGAAAACUACUAGAACAAUUGGAGAAAUCUAGAAUAUGAAGUUCCAGCACAAACUUAGAUGGCUUCUAACUAUGUGAAGGUUUGAACAGCAGCUUCUGACAUAGAAAAUAACCACAGCAAAAAGAAGCACUAACAAGUGACAGAUGUGGUUGACUCAUCUCCUUCUCCCUUCGACUCUCUAAUGAGCAAUUAAAUAGCCUGAAACAGAACAAUCAAGAGGUCUGGCAAAUCCACACACUAGAUGACUGCCUUUUCACUUAACUGUGUCCUCAUAUGGAAGAGAGGAGAAAAGAGGAGAGGAGGGGAGAGGCAAGUUCUCUUGUGUUUCUUCUUACAAAGCACAAAUGCCAUUAUGAGGGCCCCACCCUCAGGACCUCAUCUAAUCCUAAUUUCCUCCCAAAAUUAAAUCUCAAAUGUCAUCACAUUGUGGUUAGGAGUCAACACAUAAUUGGGGGUCAUGGUGGGGCAGCAAUACUAAACUGAUACACAAAGGAUCCCCGUACUUCAUCAAAAUAUCAAUGUUGUCCAUGACACACAAAGAACCCAGCUGUAGUUUAAUUCAGCAUCACAGUCCCAACAUGUUUUAAAACAUGUUCCAGCUUUUGGUCCCAGGAUUAUUCAACCUAGCUCAUAAAAGAAAACAAUAUUGCAUUUCUAAGUAUUGGCUCCUAGAAUUGGCAAGUUUAGUCAAGAAAAGCUGGAAUGCCGUUAAAACAACACCCUGUCAUCUUUCAAUCAGUCCUUAGCUGAAGUUAAAAUCCCACUCAUUCUGCAUGAUCCAGCCUCUGUAGCAUAGAGUGAGUAGCCCCUUAACAAGAACCAAAAUGGAGGGUACGGAUGAGGCUCAGAUCGUCACCACCUGGAGAAUAGAGACAGUGACUGAGUCACCAGGAAAUCUGUCCCCUGCUCAUCCCAGAAUCCCCGAGCUUUGACUUUUUAAGAGAACAUGUGACAGAUAAUGCCAUCUGAGAAGAUUCACAGAGCAACCAAAUAAAGAUGAUUGAGUGAAUGGCUAAAGAAAUAAAUAUGUUCGAAUCUGUACCCAUCUCAUGUCUUUCCUGAUGAUUGCCUCCUUUACUGUAUGUUUUCCACUGAGAUGAAGAUUUUGGUCAUUUCCUCAUUCAUGUUCCUGCUUUUCAAAACCCAAGCAAGAAAGGAAACUUCUACAGUGACUUUCUCAUUAUGAAAUCUUAGCAUUCACUAGUCGGCCAUAAUGGAAAACCAGCCAAAUGGACACAUAUACACUGGUCUGUACCCGCAGAGAAAGAAAUGCAAAUCUCUGUGAUCAGAAAACUAUCCUAUCUUGUACAUUGUUAAAAGUCUGCCUCCAAAAAGUUUACUUCUGGAAUACUGUAAUUGAAUAGAAUCAGGGAUCCUACCUGUGUCCUUCAACUUUCACAUCUUGUCUACUCAAGUAAGGGUUGAAUUUGCAUGACUAUAUCUAAGGUUCGAGGGCUUACCUGUUGGCAGUAGACCCAGUAGUCUAUGAAUGGAAAUGGGCAAACCUGUGACCUCCCAAAACUUUAAUAUGAAAGUUUUGUUUGUGUAUACUCAUGGCAUUAUUCUUUUAAUAAAGAGAUAAUCUAUAUA